RNAcentral lists this long non-coding RNA (1443 nucleotides) under Canis lupus familiaris (dog). RNAcentral describes it as "lncRNA (ENSCAFG00000056020.1, ENSCAFG00040024260.1)". The record is from RNAcentral. Lineage: Eukaryota; Metazoa; Chordata; Mammalia; Carnivora; Canidae.
AUGUGCGGUUUGUUCUCCGAUGGAAAAACGCAAUCCGCGCCCAGAAUGGCUGUCAAUAGCUCGGCGGGUGCAGUGCAGCCGUGCAGCCCCGCCCUGGAAAGCGGUGGCCGCGGACGGAGGGGCCCCGCGUCUCGGCCGCGCCGCCCGAACCCCUCCCGGUUUGCUUUAGGUCCCCUGGGGUCCCUGAGACACCAGCCGGGAAGGCGACGCGCUCGGAGCGCCCCGCGCACGCCGGAAGCGGCCACCACCGCGGAUCCGAGCCGCUCUCGGGCAAGGAGGAAGGCGCCCCGGGCAGGCAGCAACUCACCGGCCACCCCGACGAUCCCAGCCGCGGCCCCAGAGCGGGACCCGCGCAGCCCCGGCCCGCGGACCCGGCCGCACCUCGCAGCGCCGGGCACGGGGAGUGGGCGAGAGGGCGCCCGAGGCGGCGGGCGUCCAGGCUCUGCCCCCGCUGCAGCCCCGCCGCCCGCCUCCGAGCCCACGCCGGGGCCGCCGCCGCCGCCGCCGCCGCCGCCGCCGCCGCCGCCGCCGCCGCCAGGGAAGGUGCGAGCCCGACUGUGCGCGCGGCGACCGGCCGCGGAGCUGAACCUGCGAAGGGCGGGGCGCUCGGGGCGGGGCCGGCGGCGCGGGGGGCGGGCCGGGGCGGGCCGGGCCGGAGGGCGCGCGCGGCCGCGGUACCUGCGCGGGGGCCGGGCGGGGCGCGCGGGGGUCGGUCGCUGCACGCCCGCGCGCCCCCGAGUACAAGGGGCGCCCAUUGUUACCGCGCUGGCGCCGCCCGCAGGGGGGCCGCUUGGGCCCGAGCAGCGGCGCCCCGCUCCCUUGGCACAAAGGGAGGUCGCGGGACGCUUGCUGCAAAGAGCGCCCCCGGGGUGCUGGCUCCCCGGUGCCCGAGGACAAAGGGGCCCCGCCCGCGCCCGGACACCUGCACUACACCUCGCGCCCACCCCUCCCGGUCCGCACGGGCCAGUCGGGCGCGGCGGGCGGGGGACCCUGGAGGAGGCGCGGCCACCCGACCGCGCGGACCCUGCCCAGCCCCGGGGCCCCCGGCCACCCGGGCCCCCGGCUCCAGGGGCAGGUCGUGUUUUGUCGGUUUCUCGCUCGCUCCCUUUGGAGCUGCUGCCAAAACCCGGAGAGCGGAUUGGGCGUCCCGGCGACGCCCGGGGCUGCCCGCUGAGCCAGGGGGCCCGCGAACCGCCGACGCCGCAGGUUUUUCCAGCCCGGGGGAGGGGCUUCCUCUCCCGCGGGGUCCCCAAAGAGACCGGCCUGAAGCCGGGGCCGGCGGGUGGCGGCUGUCCCCGACGCGCGGCGCAAGUGGCGCAGCUGCCGGCCCGGGAGCCUAGAAUUGGGCCCCGGGAGGCACCUGCGCCCGCCGGUCAUCCCGGCGCCCGCCGCGGCGCGCCCCGCCCCUCCGCCCGCAGGCUCGCCCUGGACCCGGUUAAUUAA